Molecule: small RNA, 382 nt
Filed under: Megasphaera geminata F0357
Lineage: Bacteria; Bacillati; Bacillota; Negativicutes; Veillonellales; Veillonellaceae
Description: Anaeroglobus geminatus F0357 cspA thermoregulator
Rfam family: cspA thermoregulator
Source: Rfam by way of RNAcentral
AAAGGAAAAAACGUAAUUAUCCCUUCAGGCUUCGGGAAUAUUAAAAAUAUUCAUUGACACAGAAAUUUAAACGUGUUACACUUGCUUUAUAGCUACUGAAUAGCUGGAAGUUUUUAGCUUAGGAGGAUUUGUCAUGCAAGGUAAAGUAAAAUGGUUCAGUGCAGAAAAAGGUUAUGGUUUCAUCGAAAGAGAAGACGGCGGUGACGUAUUCGUUCACUUCUCCGCUAUCCAGGAAGACGGCUUCAAAUCCCUGACUGAAGGUCAGGAAGUUGAAUUUGACAUCGUUGACGGCGCUCGUGGCCCGCAGGCAGCUAACGUAACCAAAGCGUAAGCUGUGAUAAACAGACCUUUUAAGACGGUAACUCGGGUUGCCGUCUUUUUU